This 378-nucleotide unclassified non-coding RNA is filed under the name uncultured delta proteobacterium. Its description in RNAcentral is "contains 16S-23S intergenic spacer region". The record is from RNAcentral. Lineage: Bacteria; Deltaproteobacteria.
UCUGCCUUAUCGGCAAGCGGUCCCCCUAGAGUGCCCAACUUAAUGAUGGCAACUAAGGGCAAGGGUUGCGCUCGUUGCGGGACUUAACCCAACAUCUCACGACACGAGCUGACGACAGCCAUGCAGCACCUGUCUCCACGUCCCCGAAGGGAACCCCUACUUUCAUAGGGUAGCGUGGGAUGUCAAGCCCAGGUAAGGUUUUUCGCGUUGCGUCGAAUUGAACCACAUACUCCACCGCUUGUGCGGGCCCCCGUCAAUUUCUUUGAGUUUUAAUCUUGCGACCGUACUCCCCAGGCGGGGUACUUAAUGCGUUAGCUGCGACACCGAAAGGGUAAGAACUUCCGACAUCUAGUACCCAUAGUUUACGGCGUGGACUAC